UUUUUUUUCUUUGUUAAGGGUAUCACUGAUGUCUUCCACCUUUUCUCAAUUCCAGUCAGUAUCUUUAUUACUUUAAAUUCUCUAUCAGGUUUAUUACUUGUGUCUGUUUCACAUAGGUCUCUUGCUGUGGUUUUUGUGCCGUUCUUUCAUUUUUGACAUUUCUGUCUCUUCAUUUUAUCUAACUCUCUGUGUCUGUUUCUCUGUGUUAGUAAAGUCAGCUACUUUCCCUGCUCUUGAUGGCGAUAGCCUUAUGAAGAAGAGGUCCUGUAAUGUUCUGCAAUGCAGUGUCCCCUGCUCCCCAGGACCUGCUGCUUCAAGGGUUGUCUCCUAUGUUUGUUGGGUGUGCCCUGCUGUUGAGUACUGACCACUUUUUCCUUCAGUCCACUUGUCUGCAGAGGCUCUCUUUUCCUGUUGUGGGCAGGGUUUGGUCCUCAGCCUGGUGGGGUGCAUUUUAACAAGGUGUGCACUGGUCUGCUUGCAAAAUGAGACCUGCAGCCACUUUUGUUGCCAGUACUGAUGUCCCGCAAAAUGUGCAGGUUGGAAGAUGAGGUUUUAGUGGGGUUUGUGCUAGUCUUCUGGAGGAGGACACCUGUAGCACUGAGACUGAGACAAGUGUCAGUGGGAAGGGUGGAUGUGCCAAAGCUUUGGUGGGGGGACUUGGAGUAAGCAAGUUAGGUAGUGAGUGUUAGCACAGUGCUGGUUCCCACAGGUGGCUUGUGGAUUUAUACUGAGUUGUGGGGGACGGAAAUGCAUGUGUCAUUUCCUUUGUUCCUAGAGGAGUCUCCCUGUGAUCCUUGCCUGAGACCUGCCCUGAGGUAAGCAAAUCACUCUCCCUCCCUUGUGCCCCAGGCAUUUUUCAAAGUUCUUCUUCCAUGCUGUAUCUCUGUUAGCUGUUGUGCUACUCUUUAAGGGCAGUAACUCUGCUUUCUAAUAUCCUUCAGGCUCUCCCAGAGCUGAACCUACAGAUUUUUAAAAUUCAGGGCUUUAAGCCCUUCUGGUUGUAAGAACUCACAGAUUCAGUCCCUCUGGCCUUCAAAGCCAAAUGUUAAGGGGGAUUCAUCCUCCCCAUGCAGGCUCCCUGGUGUCAUAGUUUGUUUAUUACUCUUCUCUCUGCAACUGGCUCCAUCCCCAUCAUGGACAGCCAUGGUCCUUUUUACUCCCAAACUGCAUCUUCAUUCUUCCUACCUUCUUCAAUGUGGCUGCUUCUCUAUCUUUUAUUGUGGAGUUUGUUCUGCCAGUCUUUGAGUUUUAUGAGUUAUUUAUGCUUAUGUGAGUGUUAUCUAGUUGUUUUUGUGGGAUGAAGCAACCUUAGGGUCCUUCUACUCCACCAUCUUCCCAGCCUCCUACUGUUUCAUCAACGUCUUGCGGCCUUCAGUGUAGAGAUCUUUUGUCUGCUUAAAUUUAUUCUUACAUAUUUGAUUGAUUUGAUGCUAUUGUAAACAUGAUCUUCUCUUUGUUUUUCAGAUAAUUGGUUGUUAGCAUAUGGAAACACUACUGUUUUUAUGUGUUAAGUGUUUGUAUCCUGCAACUUUGUUGAUUAUAUUAAGCAGUUUUAGGGUGAGUCUUUAGGAUUUUUGUACGGGUAAAAAUUUUAUCAUCUGCAAAUAGAGAUGGUUUUACUUUUCCAUUUCAAAGUCUCAUGAUUUUAUUUCCUGCCUGAUUGCACUGGCUAAAACUUCCAGUACUUUGUUGAAUAGGAAUGGUGAGUUGGCACUCUUGUCUUAUUUAUGAUCUUAGAGGAAAGCUUUAAACAUUUUAGCAUUUAGUAUGAUGUUAGCUCUUGGUUUGUCAUAUAUAUCCUUUAUUAUGUUGAGGUAAAUUCCUUCUGUACCCAAUUUAGGAGUUUCAUCAUGAACAGAUGUUGCAUUUUGUCAGUUGUUCAUUUUGCAUGUUAGCAAAACAUGAGUGAUUUGAAUAGUCCAAUAAGUUCACAUAAUUUUUUUCAUUCUGUAUCACACUGAUUGAUUGUAUGUUUUUUUUUUUAACAGUGUAUUGCUUUAUUGAGGGGGGGUUGGGAGGCAAGACACCAUGGUGAGGAACAAAAUCAAAUAAAGGAAGUACAAGUACAGGAAGCAAUAAUGUUAAAAUAGUAAUACACAAAAUGGAUAACUGCAAUCAUUUUCUUAAGAGGACUUGACUUGUGGAAGAUAAACUUUAAUUGCUGUUGCAAAAAACAUCUGUAUGAAGUAGAAACUGGUUUCAGUAAUAUUAGUAGAGAAUAUGUUCUAGAAAGUGGAGGUAACUGGAUGUAAAAUCCUGGCAGCAAUUUAAUAGAACAGUCCCAGAUGAUUAGGCUGAGGCCAACACCUAAUGAGGACGAAAGCCCUGUCUGGGGAAUUUUGGAUGAUACCUGGAGAAAUAUUACACUGUGCAUAAACCAAAUUGAAUUGUUUUCACAAUUGUUGUAAAGUUUCAUAUAGUAAAAGUUUUUUUCUACAUGCACUUCAAUUUCACAGCAAGAGUGGCAUAGGAUACCUAAACACAGAAGAGAGCAUUCAUGCAAGAUAUCUAACUCCUUGAUAUAAUAAUGCAUACAAUUCAAAAUGAUUACACUAUCAGUACAUCUAGGGCUUUCUGCAGCUACAAGGUGAUGGUUAUGGAAAGCAUGGCCCCCGAUAUCAAUAUCUAAAAAGCAGCCACCACCUCCUUCUAUGUGUGUUCUCUUUUUGCAUUUUUUCUUCUUCAUUUUUAUUAAUCAACUCUGCUGUUGUUGCUGCUUCUUAGCAAAACUGGUAAAAACAAAAUUGUAAUCAUUGAACAUAGCGCUCUGGCAAUCCAGACGUUUAAAGCCUUCAAUCUUCUGGGGUGAAGAAAGCACUGUGCGACAUUUAGAACUCUGAUUUACAAACAGGGUGGUUACAAAUUUUCCUGGCUUGAAGACUUCAACAACUUUCCUGAUCAGGUCAUCAUAGGAGGUCUGACUUAAGUUUGUUUCAAAGCUAACAUAAGAAAAUUCUGAUUCUGGAGUGAUUUGAAUAGUCCAAUAAGUUCCAUUCGAUUUCAUUCCAUUCAUCGAAUACCCACAAGGAUUGAACAGUGUGGCAUCAAUGACAGAACCUGGUAUCAGGUCACGAAUUCCAC
Molecule: long non-coding RNA, 3081 nt
Filed under: Canis lupus familiaris (dog)
Lineage: Eukaryota; Metazoa; Chordata; Mammalia; Carnivora; Canidae
Description: lncRNA (ENSCAFG00805026167.1, ENSCAFG00845023487.1)
Source: RNAcentral